Molecule: unclassified non-coding RNA, 87 nt
Filed under: fungal sp.
Lineage: Eukaryota; Fungi
Description: partial internal transcribed spacer region
Rfam family: Eukaryotic small subunit ribosomal RNA (bases 1-46)
Source: RNAcentral
AAGUCGUAACAAGGUUUCCGUAGGUGAACCUGCGGAAGGAUCAUUAACACGUAUCCAAACGGUGAAGAACGCAACGAUGGUUGGCUC